GCAAGUCUACUUGAAUUUUGACUUCGGUUAAAAGGAUGGUGGCGAACGGGUGAGUAACGCGUAGAUAAUCUACCCUUUAGACUGGGAUAAGCUCGGGAAACUGAGUCUAAUACCGGAUGUUAUGCUUUCUUCGCAUGGAGAGAACAUUAAAGAACUUGAUUCGCUAAAGGAUGAGUCUGCGUGGCAUUAGCUAGUUGGUGAGGUAAGAGCUCACCAAGGCAUCGAUGCCUAGCUGGUCUGAGAGGAUGAUC
This 251-nucleotide ribosomal RNA is filed under the name uncultured bacterium. RNAcentral describes it as "partial 16S ribosomal RNA". It matches the Rfam family "Bacterial small subunit ribosomal RNA", at positions 57 to 305 of the family's 1533-position model. The record is from RNAcentral.